UACGUAGGCAGCAAGCGUUGUUCGGAGUUACUGGGCGUAAAGGGUGUGUAGGCGGCCUGUUAAGUUCCGUGUGAAAUCUCCCGGCUCAACCGGGAGGGUGCGCGGAAAACUGGCGGGCUAGAGUGCGGGAUGGGAGAGUAGAAUUCCUGGUGUAGCGGUGAAAUGCGUAGAUAUCAGGAGGAAUACCCAUGGCGAAGGCAGCUUCCUGGCCCAAUUCUGACGCUGAGGUGCGAAAGCGUGGGUAGCGAACGGG
Molecule: ribosomal RNA, 253 nt
Filed under: uncultured bacterium
Lineage: Bacteria
Description: partial 16S ribosomal RNA
Rfam family: Bacterial small subunit ribosomal RNA
Source: RNAcentral